This 490-nucleotide ribosomal RNA is filed under the name uncultured bacterium. Its description in RNAcentral is "partial 16S ribosomal RNA". It matches the Rfam family "Bacterial small subunit ribosomal RNA", at positions 30 to 507 of the family's 1533-position model. The record is from RNAcentral.
AUUGAACGCUGGCGGCAUGCUUUACACAUGCAAGUCGGACGGCAGCACAGAGAAGCUUGCUUCUUGGGUGGCGAGUGGCGAACGGGUGAGUAAUAUAUCGGAACGUACCGAGUAAUGGGGGAUAACUAAUCGAAAGAUUAGCUAAUACCGCAUAUUCUCUGAGGAGGAAAGCAGGGGACCUUCGGGCCUUGCGUUAUUCGAGCGGCCGAUAUCUGAUUAGCUAGUUGGUGGGGUAAAGGCCCACCAAGGCGACGAUCAGUAGCGGGUCUGAGAGGAUGAUCCGCCACACUGGGACUGAGACACGGCCCAGACUCCUACGGGAGGCAGCAGUGGGGAAUUUUGGCCAAUGGGCGCAAGCCUGAUCCAGCCAUGCCGCGUGUCUGAAGAAGGCCUUCGGGUUGUAAAGGACUUUUGUCAGGGAAGAAAAGGCUGUUGCUAAUACCGACAGCUGAUGACGGUACCUGAAGAAUAAGCACCGGCUAACUACGUG